CCAGGUCCCUCAGACAUCCCUUGGCCGCCUCGUUGGCUCAGUUUGUGCUCUCAUGGGGGUUCUGACGAUUGCUCUUCCGGUCCCUG
RNAcentral lists this small RNA (86 nucleotides) under Caenorhabditis japonica. Its description in RNAcentral is "sRNA CJA49043". The record is from RNAcentral. Lineage: Eukaryota; Metazoa; Nematoda; Chromadorea; Rhabditida; Rhabditidae.